Molecule: ribosomal RNA, 293 nt
Filed under: uncultured bacterium
Lineage: Bacteria
Description: partial 16S ribosomal RNA
Rfam family: Archaeal small subunit ribosomal RNA
Source: RNAcentral
GUGCCAGCCGCCGCGGUAAUACCGGCAGCCCGAGUGAUGGCCGAUCUUAUUGGGCCUAAAGCGUCCGUAGCUGGCUGCGCAAGUCCGUCGGGAAAUCCACUCGCCCAACGAGUGGGCGUCCGGCGGAAACUGUGUGGCUUGGAACCGGAAGGCUCAGAGGGUACGUCCGGGGUAGGAGUGAAAUCCUGUAAUCCCGCUCGGACCGCCGAUGGGGAAACCACCUCAGGAGAACGGAUCCAACAGUGAGGGACGAAAGCCAGGGUCUCGAACCGGAUUAGAAACCCGGGUAGUCC